UACGUAGGGGGCUAGCGUUGUCCGGAAUCAUUGGGCGUAAAGCGCGUGUAGGCGGCCCGGUAAGUCCGCUGUGAAAGUCGGGGGCUCAACCCUCGGAAGCCGGUGGAUACUGUCGGGCUCGAGUACGGAAGAGGCGAGUGGAAUUCCUGGUGUAGCGGUGAAAUGCGCAGAUAUCAGGAGGAACACCGGUGGCGAAGGCGGGUCUCUGGGCAACAACUGACGCUGAGGAGCGAAAGCGUGGGGAGCGAACAGG
Molecule: ribosomal RNA, 253 nt
Filed under: uncultured bacterium
Lineage: Bacteria
Description: partial 16S ribosomal RNA
Rfam family: Bacterial small subunit ribosomal RNA
Source: RNAcentral